RNAcentral lists this ribosomal RNA (902 nucleotides) under Scedosporium apiospermum. RNAcentral describes it as "LSU rRNA". It matches the Rfam family "Eukaryotic large subunit ribosomal RNA", at positions 37 to 964 of the family's 3401-position model. Lineage: Eukaryota; Fungi; Ascomycota; Sordariomycetes; Microascales; Microascaceae. The record is from RNAcentral.
AGCAUAUCAAUAAGCGGAGGAAAAGAAACCAACAGGGAUUGCCUCAGUAACGGCGAGUGAAGCGGCAACAGCUCAAAUUUGAAAUCUGGCGGCCUCUGGGCCGUCCGAGUUGUAAUUUGAAGAGGAUGCUUUUGGCGAGGCGCCUUCCGAGUGCCCUGGAACGGGACGCCACAGAGGGUGAGAGCCCCGUAUGGUUGGACGCCGAGCCUCUGUAAAGCUCCUUCGACGAGUCGAGUAGUUUGGGAAUGCUGCUCAAAAUGGGAGGUAAACCCCUUCUAAAGCUAAAUACUGGCCAGAGACCGAUAGCGCACAAGUAGAGUGAUCGAAAGAUGAAAAGCACUUUGAAAAGAGAGUUAAACAGCACGUGAAAUUGUUGAAAGGGAAGCGCUUGCGACCAGACUUGUGCCCGUCGAAUCAGCCGCCGCUCGUCGGCGGCGCACUUCGGCGGGCUCAGGCCAGCAUCAGUUCGCUGCAGGGGGAGAAAGGCGAUGGGAAUGUGGCUCUUCGGAGUGUUAUAGCCCGCCGCGCAAUACCCCUCGGCGGACUGAGGACCGCGCAUCUGCAAGGAUGCUGGCGUAAUGGUCGUCAGCGACCCGUCUUGAAACACGGACCAAGGAGUCGUCCUAAUAUGCGAGUGUUCGGGUGUAAAACCCCUGCGCGUAAUGAAAGUGAACGGAGGUGAGAGCUUCGGCGCAUCAUCGACCGAUCCUGAUGUUCUCGGAUGGAUUUGAGUAAGAGCAUAUUGGGCCGGACCCGAAAGAAGGUGAACUAUGCCUGUAUAGGGUAAAGCCAGAGGAAACUCUGGUGGAGGCUCGCAGCGGUUCUGACGUGCAAAUCGAUCGUCAAAUAUGGGCAUGGGGGCGAAAGACUAAUCGAACCUUCUAGUAGCUGGUUUCCGCCGA